ACUGAUUGAUGGUGCUUGCACCUGAUUGACGAUGGAUCACCAGUGAGUGGCGGACGGGUGAGUAACACGUAGGUAACCUGCCCCGGAGCGGGGGAUAACAUUUGGAAACAGAUGCUAAUACCGCAUAACAACAAAAGCCACAUGGCUUUUGUUUGAAAGAUGGCUUUGGCUAUCACUCUGGGAUGGACCUGCGGUGCAUUAGCUAGUUGGUAAGGUAACGGCUUACCAAGGCGAUGAUGCAUAGCCGAGUUGAGAGACUGAUCGGCCACAAUGGAACUGAGACACGGUCCAUACUCCUACGGGAGGCAGCAGUAGGGAAUCUUCCACAAUGGGCGCAAGCCUGAUGGAGCAACACCGCGUGAGUGAAGAAGGGUUUCGGCUCGUAAAGCUCUGUUGUUGGAGAAGAAC
This 408-nucleotide ribosomal RNA is filed under the name Limosilactobacillus reuteri. RNAcentral describes it as "bacterial SSU rRNA". It matches the Rfam family "Bacterial small subunit ribosomal RNA", at positions 65 to 450 of the family's 1533-position model. The record is from RNAcentral. Lineage: Bacteria; Bacillati; Bacillota; Bacilli; Lactobacillales; Lactobacillaceae.